Citrobacter koseri ATCC BAA-895 is the source of this 162-nucleotide small RNA. It matches the Rfam family "Enterobacterial sRNA STnc430". Lineage: Bacteria; Pseudomonadati; Pseudomonadota; Gammaproteobacteria; Enterobacterales; Enterobacteriaceae. The record is from Rfam.
UUCAACAUUCAUUAUCCGUAUACUCUGAAAAUAACACCGAGUAACUUACGGGUUAUUCAUUAUUUUAGGAUUAAGCUCAAUAUAAAUUUUUGCGGAAUAGCACAGACAACCGGAAUUAUCUUAUAAAAAAAGCCGAUAAUAAUAUCGGCUCUAAUUACAGAU